CCUACGGGUGACUGCAGUGAGGAAUAUUGGUCAAUGGACGAGAGUCUGAACCAGCCAAGUAGCGUGAAGGAUGACGGCCCUAUGGGUUGUAAACUUCGUUUAUAAAGGAAUAAAACGAGGCACGUGUGCCCUUUUGCAUGUACUUUAUGAAUAAGGAUCGGCUAACUCCGUGCCAGCAGCCGCGGUAAUACGGAGGAGCCGAGCGUUAUCCGGAUUUAGUGGGUUUAAAGGGAGCGUAGAGGGGUUGUUAAGUCAGUUGUGAAAGUUUGCGGCUCAACCGUCAAAUUGCCAUUGAUACUGGCAGUCUUGAGUGCAGUUGAGGUAGGCGGAAUUCGUGGUGUAGCGGUUAAAUGCUUAGCUAUCACGCAGAACCCCGAUUGCGAAGGCAGCUUACUAAACUGUGACUGACAUUGAUGCUCGAAAGUGUGGGUAUCAAACAGGAUUAGAUACCCCUGUAGUC
This 460-nucleotide ribosomal RNA is filed under the name uncultured bacterium. RNAcentral's name for it is "partial 16S ribosomal RNA". It matches the Rfam family "Bacterial small subunit ribosomal RNA", at positions 338 to 795 of the family's 1533-position model. The record is from RNAcentral.